GGUAGCCGGGUUGAGAGACCGACCGGCCAGAUUGGGACUGAGACACGGCCCAGACUCCUACGGGAGGCAGCAGUGGGGAAUCUUGCGCAAUGGGGGGAACCCUGACGCAGCGACGCCGCGUGCGGGACGGAGGCCUUCGGGUCGUAAACCGCUUUCAGCAGGGAAGAGUCAAGACUGUACCUGCAGAAGAAGCCCCGGCUAACUACGUGCCAGCAGCCGCGGUAAUACGUAGGGGGCGAGCGUUAUCCGGAUUCAUUGGGCGUAAAGCGCGCGUAGGCGGCCCGGCAGGCCGGGGGUCGAAGCGGGGGGCUCAACCCCCCGAAGCCCCCGGAACCUCCGCGGCUUGGGUCCGGUAGGGGAGGGUGGAACACCCGGUGUAGCGGUGGAAUGCGCAGAUAUCGGGUGGAACACCGGUGGCGAAGGCGGCCCUCUGGGCCGAGACCGACGCUGAGGCGCGAAAGCUGGGGGAGCGAACAGGAUUAGAUACCCUGGUAGUCCCAGCCGUAAACGAUGGACGCUAGGUGUGGGGGGACGAUCCCCCCGUGCCGCAGCCAACGCAUUAAGCGUCCCGCCUGGGGAGUACGGCCGCAAGGCUAAAACUCAAAGAAAUUGACGGGGGCCCGCACAAGCAGCGGAGCAUGUGGCUUAAUUCGAAGCAACGCGAAGAACCUUACCAGGGCUUGACAUAUGGGUGAAGCGGGGGAGACCCCGUGGCCGAGAGGAGCCCAUACAGGUGGUGCAUGGCUGUCGUCAGCUCGUGUCGUGAGAUGUUGGGUUAAGUCCCGCAACGAGCGCAACCCCCGCCGCGUGUUGCCAUCGGGUGAUGCCGGGAACCCACGCGGGACCGCCGCCGUCAAGGCGGAGGAGGGCGGGGACGACGUCAAGUCAUCAUGCCCCUUAUGCCCUGGGCUGCACACGUGCUACAAUGGCCGGUACAGAGGGAUGCCACCCCGCGAGGGGGAGCGGAUCCCGGAAAGCCGGCCCCAGUUCGGAUUGGGGGCUGCAACCCGCCCCCAUGAAGUCGGAGUUGCUAGUAAUCGCGGAUCAGCAUGCCGCGGUGAAUGCGUUCCCGGGCCUUGCACA
Molecule: ribosomal RNA, 1083 nt
Filed under: uncultured bacterium
Lineage: Bacteria
Description: bacterial SSU rRNA
Rfam family: Bacterial small subunit ribosomal RNA
Source: RNAcentral